Molecule: long non-coding RNA, 1561 nt
Organism: Oncorhynchus mykiss (rainbow trout)
Lineage: Eukaryota; Metazoa; Chordata; Actinopteri; Salmoniformes; Salmonidae
Source: RefSeq, a predicted model, not a curated record
AACUAUCAUACAUAAUUACUAAUAUAAUUUUCUAUAUUGUCUUGGCUUUAAGGACCUUAAAGACGACAAAAUCAACUUAAAGACGACAAAAUGUUGUUACUAGUAGGGAGUGUUUCAAGACUGGAGGCGGACCCCCACUAAGACCAGAGACAGAUGAGCUGGGUGACUUUUUCGCCCUGGAUCAUUGAUAGCCAGCAACCCCUGGAACUCUUGAUGAUGACAAUCUGGACAGUCCGUUGGACACAUUAAUUUAACAUGUGCCAUCCCUGUAAUGUUGUCAGUCAUCUCUUGCACUCCAAUAAUACAAAUUAUUUAAUGCACUCAACUCUUGAAGAAAUAAUGUCUGUAAUGCAGUAAUAUAAUCAUUUUCUAGAGGCAGAUCACCAUAGCUUGGAGGGAAUAAGCGCAACCUAAUGUAUUUAAAAGAAGAGCAUGAUGCACUAUACAUAGAAAGUAUGUGGUGUUGGUAAAGUAGCGGUAUUGCUUUAAAACACCGAGGUGCAUUGUGGGUGACGUAGUAAGGUAACUUUUGAUGCAAUUGUGUGUGACGGGGAUGUAGCCGAACUGUGAGCCAGGCUCUUUUUCUCCGUUAGCCCACUAUUUUAUUUUGUCAUUCGGACUACCUCAAAUUAUGUACAAGUUUUAAAAGUGAACUUCUUCUGUGGAAUUCUAGACUAACUCUUCAUUAGCAGCGGAUAAGAUCCCCAAAUGUGGGAAUUACCCCAGAACAUCCGUAAAUUGAUCAGGCUCUGGAGCUAGCAAGUAAACGCUCCCCUGAGCCGUCCUGAAUACGGUCUGGAGGCGAGGCAGGAAAGAUAACGGUGUUCCCUCUAAACUGCGCUCGGGUGCGUAGUUGCCCGAUACGGCCAAGCAGCUCACCCGGGACUACUGCGCGGAAUAAACUGAAUAUCAGCCAUAAAGAGAAGCACGAUAUUGAAUUUCACUCAACUUUCCAGAGCAGUGGUCACCAACCGGUCGAUAUCCAAGUCAUUCCUAUUCAAUCGCCAAACAUUAAUGUAAAAAUGUGUUCCUAUUUUUUUUUAUUCGUCUUGGGCUGUUGACGGUAGGUGCACCCAAUUCAGCUGUCUUGUGCGCUAGGUAGGGGAACUGUUGCCAUUUUAACCAUUGCACGUGUCUGAAGUUACAACCUCUGCAUUCCCGGCGAGCCUUGAGAGCAAAUCAAGUGCACUAUAUGGUUACCCACAGCUAGCCUAUCGGAUGGCCCAGAUUACGGUGUUUGCAGUUACCUAGUAGGCAUAAAAGAAAGCUACAGCAAAAUUGAUACUGUGAGAUUUCAAAACGUUUAAAACGAUGACAAGAGAGAGGCCGUCAACGAAUACAGCAAAGAGCGUCUGUUUUUUUCAGAGUAACAACGUGAAUUUGUGAGGCACAAAUAUGGGGUGUGACUCAUCAUCCAGUUGGUGUCCCUUUUUGGUCAGUGUCAGUGGAGGAAAGGUAGAGCAGAGGGAUGUUGCAAGGCGGACCCUCAGUCUGCUGCUCUCCCACUGCCGAGACUGACCAUCAGAUGCAGGCACCAUCAGCCCAGUAAAAUACAUUUAAA